Molecule: ribosomal RNA, 427 nt
Filed under: uncultured bacterium
Lineage: Bacteria
Description: bacterial SSU rRNA
Rfam family: Bacterial small subunit ribosomal RNA
Source: RNAcentral
UCGAGAAUUUUUCACAAUGGGCGCAAGCCUGAUGGAGCGACGCCGCGUGGGGGAUGAAGGGUUUCGACCCGUAAACCCCUGUCAUUUGCGAACAAACCUUGAUUGUGAAUAGCGAUCGAGCUGAUUGUAGCGGAAGAGGAAGGGACGGCUAACUCUGUGCCAGCAGCCGCGGUAAUACAGAGGUCCCAAGCGUUGUUCGGAUUCACUGGGCGUAAAGGGUGCGUAGGUGGUCGGUGAAGUUCGGUGUGAAAGCUCGGAGCUCAACUCGGAAACGGCAUUGAAAACUCAUCGGCUAGAGGGUCGGAGAGGAGACUGGAAUUCUCGGUGUAGCAAUGAAAUGCGUAGAUAUCGAGAGGAACACCGAUGGCGAAGGCGAGUCUCUGGACGACUCCUGACACUGAGGCACGAAAGCCAGGGGAGCAAACAG